This 449-nucleotide ribosomal RNA is filed under the name uncultured bacterium. RNAcentral's name for it is "bacterial SSU rRNA". It matches the Rfam family "Bacterial small subunit ribosomal RNA", at positions 335 to 799 of the family's 1533-position model. The record is from RNAcentral.
ACUCCUACGGGAGGCAGCAGUAGGGAAUAUUGGACAAUGGGCGAAAGCCUGAUCCAGCAAUGCCGCGUGAGUGAUGAAGGCCUUAGGGUUGUAAAGCUCUUUUACCCGGGAUGAUAAUGACAGUACCGGGAGAAUAAGCUCCGGCUAACUCCGUGCCAGCAGCCGCGGGUAAUACGGAGGGAGCUAGCGUUGUUCGGAAUUACUGGGCGUAAAGCGCACGUAGGCGGCUAUUCAAGUCAGAGGUGAAAGCCCGGGGCUCAACCCCGGAACUGCCUUUGAAACUAGAUAGCUUGAAUCCAGGAGAGGUGAGUGGAAUUCCGAGUGUAGAGGUGAAAUUCGUAGAUAUUCGGAAGAACACCGAGUGGCGAAGGCGGCUCACUGGACUGGUAUUGACGCUGAGGUGCGAAAGCGUGGGAGCAAACAGGAUUAGAUACCCUGGUAGGAUAGCG